ACUGAUUGGUUUGUUAUACUAUAGAUGUUGAUACCUAUGGUGACUACCGAGUGUUUAUGAAUUUAAUGUUCUACUUUCCUUGCAUUAGAUGGAACUCUGAUUGGUGGGCAGAAUACUUCUUGGGGCUCUUAUACUUCUCAGACACCCCAAGAAAAUGUCAACAACUGGACUACAGUCUUCUCGCUCAAUCACUAUGUACCGAACUAUGGUAGCUAUUGCUCCCAGGUCCCCAAUUUAUACGCCAAUGGCACGUAUCCAUGGUACGGCAACUACCAUCACCAGCCGCAGCCGCAGCCACUGCAGCCCCA
Molecule: non-coding RNA, 308 nt
Organism: Lolium perenne
Lineage: Eukaryota; Viridiplantae; Streptophyta; Magnoliopsida; Poales; Poaceae
Source: RefSeq, a predicted model, not a curated record